CCUACGGGAGGCAGCAGUGGGGAAUAUUGUACAAUGGCCGAGACCCUGAUGCAGCGACGCCGCGUGAGUGAAGAAGGAUUUCGGUAUGUAAAGCUCUAUCUGCCGGGGAGCAAAUGCCGGUACCUGUUUAAGAAGCCCCGGCUAUCUACGUGAAAGCAGCCGCGGUAAUGCGUAGGGGGCAGGCGUUAUCCGGAUUUACUGGGUGUAAAGGGAGGGUAGACGGUGAUGCAAGUUAGAAGUGAAAGCCCGGGGCUCAACUCCGGGACUGCUGUUGAAACUGUGUGACUGGAGUGCAGGAGAGGUAAGCGGAAUUCCUGGUGUAGCGGUGAAAUGCGUAGAUAUCAGGAGGAACACCAGUGGCGAAGGCGGCUUACUGGACUGUAACUGACGUUGAGGCUCGAAAGCGUGGGGAGCAAACAGGAUUAGAUACCCUAGUAGUC
Molecule: ribosomal RNA, 440 nt
Filed under: uncultured bacterium
Lineage: Bacteria
Description: partial 16S ribosomal RNA
Rfam family: Bacterial small subunit ribosomal RNA
Source: RNAcentral